Rosa rugosa (rugosa rose) is the source of this 1812-nucleotide RNA transcript. It is a transcript of the gene named protein LATERAL ROOT PRIMORDIUM 1-like, with no coding region annotated. The record is from RefSeq and is a predicted model, not a curated record. The transcript is spliced from 6 exons. Lineage: Eukaryota; Viridiplantae; Streptophyta; Magnoliopsida; Rosales; Rosaceae.
AAAUACACUUUUUGUUUAUUAAAAAUAAAGUUAAUAAUAAAUAUUAUGGGUUGAGAUUAUUUUAUAAGGGUUGGGUGCAUAGAAUAAUUUCCAUUGUUUUGUUUACCCAAAAUUGCCAUAUGCUCAAUUUGACAUCCUUUUUCUCUCCUAGCUUUUUAUAUCCAUCUCUUUUCUGCUACUCUCUUUCUUUUGCAAUAAAAUAUGAUACACUGUUUCUAAGUGGGAGUUCUCAUAAGCUAUUGCAGCAGUGGCAGAAUCUCCAGACUGCACAAAUCUCAGCUCUUUCCUCCAUAACCAUCACAAGUUCAGAACACACAGAAAUCUCCAGACUCUGCAAAACCCCUGUUUAACAAAUUGUACACCAAAAUCAACAACAUUCUUGGCAACUAUUCAAUCCAUAUGAGCAAACCAUGUUGGGUCUGAGAGAUAUCCUCCUGAUUGCUCCAAACCAUUCUUCUGUGCACCAACAAAACCAACCCAUUUCCUCUGACCACCCAACUCUUCCUCUUCCUUCCUCCACAGCUCUUGGGGUUGGCCUCGGCAUUUUCCCUCUCCUCACUGCAACCCCAUGUAGCCAAAAUGCUCCGACCGCCGAGGGCAAUCCGGACAAUUCACGUUUCUGGAGCCUGAGAACGUACCCGGAGCUGAAUUCUUCCAAGCAUGACAUGCUCAGUUUUGGGAAUCACGGCGGCGCCGAAAGUCAACAGGUGGUGGAAUCCGAUGACGGAAAUGUGAACGGAGAAGGUGGUGGUCGUGGUGAAGACAGUGGCAUGAGGGCUUGCAAGGACUGUGGGAACAGAGCCAAGAAAGGCUGCGAGUAUUCAAGGUGCAGGACUUGUUGCAGAGGCAGGGGAUAUGACUGCUCCACUCACGUGAGGAGCACGUGGGUUCCGGCAGCGAGGCGGCGGGAAAGGCAGAUGGGUGUGACCGUUGCUGUUGCUGGUGGUGUUGCUAGUGGCGGCGGCGGUGAAGGUUCUUCCGGUUCUUCUUCCGUUGCCAAAAGACCAAGAGUAAUGAUGCCAUCAAAGAAUGCAAAUGCAAAUCUCAGACAGUCAUUACCAGAUCAAGUUCGGGCGCCAGCUGUUUUUAAGUGCCAUAGAGUCACUGCCGUUAGCAAUGGUGAAGCCGAGAUUGCUUACCAGGCUACUGUGAAAAUCAGUGGUCAUGUAUUCAAGGGGUUGCUCUAUGAUCGUGGGGUUGAUAAGAAGAAUGAAUACCCUUGUAUUUCACAUAUGCUUUUGGGAAGUGGUAGUAACCAAAGGAAUGGAGACUCUUCUUCUCCAACUGUGCCUCCAUCCAAUGUCUGUGUGGCGUCCACCAGCUGAAGGUUGUUUAGAGAGAUAGGGAGGUUUGCAUUGCAACUCUUGUGGAAUUAUCAUAUGGGCUGUUAGUGUAGUGUAAGAGUGCUAAAAUAAUGUUGGUGUUACAAACAUUGCAGAUAGCCAGAUAUUAAAUGUGAUUAUACACGUUUGUAGUGUAUAAGGGAGGUUUGCAUUGCAACUCUUGUGGAAUUAUCAUAUGGGCUGUUAGUGUAGUAUAGCCAGAUAUUAAAUGUGAUUAUACACGUUGAUGCUUGGAAGCGCCAAGAACUAUAUCAUAGAGUCUGCUACAGUAUAGAUUGCAGAUAUGGUUUCGCCGAGCACCCAGAAGCCUGGUUUGGAGCUCUUAACAUAUUGUUAAUUUAGUUAUCUUUUCAUGUAACUGAACACCAUUUUGAAUAAUUAUCAAACUAGGACACGAAAGCGUUGGAUCAGAAUAGAUGUAAGAAUGUGAAUAUGUGGCCAUCUAUCAAAAUAUAUGGAUCUUCUCUCA